Molecule: unclassified non-coding RNA, 197 nt
Filed under: uncultured fungus
Lineage: Eukaryota; Fungi
Description: sequence contains ITS1, 5.8S rRNA gene
Source: RNAcentral
UAGUAGAAUCGAGGCACCUGGGCUGUCGCCGUCCUCAAGGACGUGCACGCUCAGAGUGCUCUCUCACAUCCAUCUCUCACCCCUUUGUGCAUCACCGCGUGGGCCCCUUCUCUUCUGGCUUGUUCCGGAGAAGGGGGGGGUUCACGUUUUUAUAAGAACGACCCAUCUAUGCAUGUGUAGAACGUCUUACAUUAAUA